UAGCCAUGUUGUGGACAUAAAUUUAUCAAAUCGUUAAAUCACUCCCAAAAUUGGAAGAAGGUCUCAUCAUUUUUUUGGCAAAAUUCAUAAUUUCUUUCCUUAAGGUA
Molecule: small nucleolar RNA, 107 nt
Organism: Magnolia sinica
Lineage: Eukaryota; Viridiplantae; Streptophyta; Magnoliopsida; Magnoliales; Magnoliaceae
Source: RefSeq, a predicted model, not a curated record